RNAcentral lists this ribosomal RNA (253 nucleotides) under uncultured bacterium. Its description in RNAcentral is "partial 16S ribosomal RNA". It matches the Rfam family "Bacterial small subunit ribosomal RNA", at positions 524 to 776 of the family's 1533-position model. The record is from RNAcentral.
UACGGGGGGGGCAAGCGUUGUUCGGAAUUACUGGGCGUAAAGGGCGCGUAGGCGGUGCUCUAAGUUAGAUGUGAAAACUCUGGGCUCAACCCAGAGCCUGCAUCUAAAACUGGAGUGCUAGAGUUCUGGAGGGGGUAGCGGAAUUCCUGGUGUAGCGGUGAAAUGCGUAGAUAUCAGGAGGAACACCGGUGGCGAAGGCGGCAUCCGGGACCAACACUGACACUGAGGAGCGAAAGCCAGGGGAGCAAACGGG